This 129-nucleotide ribosomal RNA is filed under the name uncultured Candidatus Pelagibacter sp. RNAcentral's name for it is "partial 16S ribosomal RNA". It matches the Rfam family "Bacterial small subunit ribosomal RNA", at positions 587 to 715 of the family's 1533-position model. Lineage: Bacteria; Pseudomonadati; Pseudomonadota; Alphaproteobacteria; Candidatus Pelagibacterales; Candidatus Pelagibacteraceae. The record is from RNAcentral.
GUUGGUGGUGAAAUCCCAGAGCUUACCUCUGGAACUGCCAUCAAAACUUUUCAGCUAGAGUAUGAUAGAGGAAAGCAGAAUUUCUAGUGUAGAGGUGAAAUUCGUAGAUAUUAGAAAGAAUCCCAAUUG